RNAcentral lists this ribosomal RNA (450 nucleotides) under uncultured bacterium. Its description in RNAcentral is "partial 16S ribosomal RNA". It matches the Rfam family "Bacterial small subunit ribosomal RNA", at positions 354 to 796 of the family's 1533-position model. The record is from RNAcentral.
GUGGGGAAUUUUGGACAAUGGGCGCAAGCCUGAUCCAGCCAUGCCGCGUGCAGGAUGAAGGCCUUCGGGUUGUAAACUGCUUUUGUACGGAACGAAAAGACUCUGGUUAAUACCUGGGGUCCAUGACGGUACCGUAAGAAUAAGCACCGGCUAACUACGUGCCAGCAGCCGCGGUAAUACGUAGGGUGCGAGCGUUAAUCGGAAUUACUGGGCGUAAAGCGUGCGCAGGCGGUUAUAUAAGACAGAUGUGAAAUCCCCGGGCUCAACCUGGGAACUGCAUUUGUGACUGUAUAGCUAGAGUACGGCAGAGGGGGAUGGAAUUCCGCGUGUAGCAGUGAAAUGCGUAGAUAUGCGGAGGAACACCGAUGGCGAAGGCAAUCCCCUGGGCCUGUACUGACGCUCAUGCACGAAAGCGUGGGGAGCAAACAGGAUUAGAUACCCUGGUAGUCC